CCCACCCCCUGGUCGGCUACAAUAUGACUUGAAGACUCUUAGAGAUGGAGAAUGGCUACCUGACUUAAUCAUUGAGGAAUAUCUGAAGUUAAUCAAGACGGAAUGCAGUACAGAGAACCAUAAAGUUGAGUACUUUGACUGCACUGCAUACACGAGUCACCUACGAAGCAAGCCAGUCUUCAGAUACUACAAAAGGCAUCGAUUGAAGACAAGCAAGGAUGUAGCAGGCAGUGACAUAGUUUUCUUACCUGUGCACCAAUUUGAUCACUGGGGACUAAUGGU
Branchiostoma floridae (Florida lancelet) is the source of this 282-nucleotide long non-coding RNA. RefSeq lists it as uncharacterized. The record is from RefSeq and is a predicted model, not a curated record. NCBI's taxonomy places the organism in Eukaryota, Metazoa, Chordata, Leptocardii, Amphioxiformes, Branchiostomatidae. The transcript is spliced from 4 exons.